Molecule: long non-coding RNA, 1249 nt
Organism: Etheostoma spectabile (orangethroat darter)
Lineage: Eukaryota; Metazoa; Chordata; Actinopteri; Perciformes; Percidae
Exons: 2
Source: RefSeq, a predicted model, not a curated record
GGGCAGGGUGGUCCGCCUGUCGAGCGACGACCAGCCGAUGUAAGUCAGGGCAAACCUCCUGUCGGACUUCAGAGGGCUGUUCUCCCUCUCCUCCUUGCUCUCCAUGUCGCCCCGUCAGACUUUCGGCCAAACUCGGUGACAGCGAUGUGGGACUAAAGACUACUUUCAAAAAUGAUGCCGAGCCGAUCUGUACCAUUUGCAACCAAGGGUCCCGACUGAGAUCCUUUCUUCCACAACGCCUUGGAGGCGGAGCGGCUGUGCGCGUUUAUGACCCGCCCAACCAUCCCAUGUGCUGGAGGAGUGGGCAGGGCAGAGCCGCCGUGCGAAACGUGACAGCACGAAGCUCCACCUUUCUCAACAGUGCAUAAUAGCAGUGGUGGAAUACAUUUACUCAAGUGCUGUAUAUACUUAAGUACAACUUUGAUGCACUUACUUUAUUUGAGCCACUUUCUACUUCUACUCCACUAUAUUUCAGAGAUUUAUUUUGUACUUUUUCACUCUACAUUAGUCUGACAGUAGGACGCAAAACACAUGUAGUUUAUAAAAUAAAGUUUAUUAUAAAUUAAUCUACCCAACAAUAUAGGCCUACAAGUACAGCUGAUAUGAUUAGACAAACACUGGAAAUUAAAUAAUUAAAAUACUGGAAAGCCUCUUGUAUGGUAGUGGGGAAAGUGUUUGCAGCCUCCACUGCACUAGUCCUCCAGGUGCAUACCUUUGUUUGCUGUCAUCCUACCUACCAAAAGCCUUCACCUGGUAAAAUGUGCAGAAGUGGUGAAGACUAGACCUGGCCAAUUACUAUGUUGGCAGCACAAUAUGCAUUACUUCACUAAGGCAGUUCACACCUGACUGUUUACAAGCAGGCUGUGCUGAUUCAUAGUCUUGGAAAGCUGUAAUCCUAUCUGAUAUGCUUUAUGCACUACAGAAGUUCCCAUCUACUGAAUGCUAUAAUUCCAAGCACUCCUCCUAUCCCCAAAAUAGAAACUGUGCCAUAUAUAACCUCAUCACCGAGGCAGUAGCCACUGGAGUUCUGCAGCCUACUAAACCCCACAGUACUGGUGAGGACUUAAAUGUGUAUACCUCAAGGACGUAUACAUAUUUCAACUGUGGACCUUUAUAUAACACAGGGCAGGCCAUCAAAUAGACCCCCACUUGAUAAAAUUGUGUGGUUGUAUUUCUGUUCUUUGAGUGUUGACAUUGUAUUGAAUUGACUGUCUACAAUGGAUUGUGGCGAAAAUGGAAAUUAAUGAGA